Molecule: ribosomal RNA, 459 nt
Filed under: uncultured bacterium
Lineage: Bacteria
Description: partial 16S ribosomal RNA
Rfam family: Bacterial small subunit ribosomal RNA
Source: RNAcentral
CCUACGGGAGGCAGCAGUGAGGAAUAUUGGUCAAUGGGCGCGAGCCUGAACCAGCCAAGUCGCGUGAGGGAAGACGGUCCUAUGGAUUGUAAACCUCUUUUGUCGGGGAGCAAAAGACGCCACGCGUGGCGUUCCGAGAGUACCCGAAGAAAAAGCAUCGGCUAACUCCGUGCCAGCGGCCGCGGUAAUACGGAGGAUGCGAGCGUUAUCCGGAUUUAUUGGGUUUAAAGGGUGCGCAGGGGGAAGAUGAAGUCAUCGGUAAAAUUGAGAGGCUCAACCUCUUCGAGCCGUUGAAACUGGGUGUCGUGAGUGAGCGAGAGGUAUGCGGAAUGCGUGGUGUAGCGGUGAAAUGCAUAGAUAUCACGCAGAACUCCGAUUGCGAAGGCAGCAUACCGGCGCUCAACUGACGCUCAUGCACGAAAGUGUGGGUAUCGAACAGGAUUAGAUACCCGUGUAGUC